UUACUCAUUUCUCCGGGCACGCCGACAAAUCCGCCGUAUACAAAGGAAUUCUCCUGUAUACGAAGCGAUAGCUGUACCUGUAAACAUACAAUAUUACAACUAUUAGUAUAGAGCUGCUAAAAGAAUGCAUAUAUAAAAUCAUCGGUUCAAUACAUACAUAAAAUCCUAGUACAAAAACACUCGCUCUAGCGAGGAGCAACAUCAGUAUAUAAAGAACCAAAAACUAUAACUACCUGUAGCCGGUACUCCUCUAGCUCUGCAACUCGUUAUGAAGGGCUCUAACUCGGAACACCCUUUCCGCGAUCAGAAUCAGCAGUAGCAGCAGCCGCAACCGAAGGCUCUGCAAAAGAUCCACAAGUUGGCGUGAGAACUACUACAAAAAGUAGUCCUCAGUGGGUACCGCUACCGACCUCAACGGCUCACCCACUAAGUCGACAGAUGAUAUGCUCAACGAUAGUAAAGAAACUGGAAACAAUCUACAGCUAUAUGCCACUAUACUAUCAUGAUCCAGCACUAACUAUCUGUAGAAUAAUGCAAUCACUGUGAAUACACCCGUCCCGCCUGUCGAAGCUAUACAGCUACCUCCACGCUCAGCUAUCCGUGGAGAGCAAGUCCAACCAGGACACAAUGACACCAACGCAAACGCACAAAGCCCAAGUACGAAGUGGCACUCGUGGGCGCUACCCAACCGAGUAUGUAAGCGUGUUUCUGCCGAGCUCAAUUAGGCUCUCAUAGGCUAUAGUCAAGUAAAUAGGGUCUAACUGGUCUAACACCCAAAUUCACGUGCCAUCGGCACAAUCUAAUGCAAAAACAGCAAUCUGGAUCCACCGUCAAUCUCAAAGGCACCCGACAGUCCGGAACAGCCUAAACACUGCUGUAAAAAUAAGCUCGGCAUCUCAGCACGAGCGUAAAUACAUUCUACACUAUCCUGGGUAUCCACCGCCCACAAACUGCGGUGAUACAAACAAAGUACGGCUCCUAGAGCUAAAUCUGGUAGUUUAAGCAAAUGACGGUGUAGAAUCGAUAAUUUUCUCCUAAGUCCAUGUCCAACAUGUAUAAUUUAGCUAACAUUCUCCGGAUUUGGAUAGGAUUUGCUACAGUAUUAGUGACUGGUCGACACAAGUGCGGACUAGAAUGGGAGACAUGUUUACAUAUUUUCAGCCCUCACCAUUUUUUUCAGAUGAUGCAGACGGUGAGGGUUGGAACGGUGUGUGAGGACGAUAUUAGAUAGCUGUGUU
Molecule: long non-coding RNA, 1238 nt
Filed under: Ananas comosus (pineapple)
Lineage: Eukaryota; Viridiplantae; Streptophyta; Magnoliopsida; Poales; Bromeliaceae
Description: long non-coding RNA (ACOM_LNC012231)
Source: RNAcentral